ACCGGGCAGUGCCGCGAAGCUACCAUCUGCUGGAUAAUAGCUGAACGCCUCUAAGUUAGAAUCCAUGCCAGAACGGGACGAUUUUCUCCAGCACGUCGUACGAGGAUACGAAUAG
This 115-nucleotide ribosomal RNA is filed under the name Schizochytrium aggregatum. RNAcentral's name for it is "partial Eukaryotic large subunit ribosomal RNA". It matches the Rfam family "Eukaryotic large subunit ribosomal RNA", at positions 3080 to 3195 of the family's 3401-position model. The record is from RNAcentral. Lineage: Eukaryota; Bigyra; Thraustochytrida; Thraustochytriidae.